RNAcentral lists this long non-coding RNA (1570 nucleotides) under Malus domestica (apple). RNAcentral's name for it is "long non-coding RNA (MDOM_LNC015834)". Lineage: Eukaryota; Viridiplantae; Streptophyta; Magnoliopsida; Rosales; Rosaceae. The record is from RNAcentral.
CUCGCUCUGACCAAGAAGGGUAAAAGAAUAGCAAAGAAACAGCACUAACAAAGUUUAGACCCAUAAAUUUUGAAGGUCUAGCUACCAUAUUAUUACCCACAAGGGUAAAGGAACAGUACCACUGCUGGAUAAUUGGAAGGUCCCUGUGUGUCAACCUCUGUGCUUCGUGGCAAGGUAGACUAGCAAACAUGCCCAACCUUUACUCACAUUCGAGAAAACACUCCCAAUAAGAUUGCUUGCUCCAAAAUCGAAGAGGCACCGUCCUCCGAAUCUCGAAUCUCGAGAGAGCCAGACUCCCAACAUGACUACUUUUCUUAAAAAAUCGAAGAGAGGGUAAAGGAACAGUACCAUUGCUGGAUAAUUGGAAAGUCCCUGUGUGUCAACCUCUGUGCUUCGUGGCAAGGUAGACUAGCAAACAUGCCCAACCUUUACUCACAUUCGAGAAAACACUCCCAACAAGAUUGCUUGCUCCAAAAUCGGAGAGGCACCGCCCUCCGAAUCUCGAGAGCCAGACUCCCAACAUGAUUACUUUCUCAAAAAUCGAAGAGACACUGCUCCCCGAAUCUUCGAGAGCCAGAGCCCCAGCAUGAUUCCUUUCUCAAAAAUCGAUAAGGCAUCGUUCUCCAAAUCAAUCGAAGAGGCGCUCGCUUUCUCAAAAGCUGGGCUGCUCAGAGACCACGAGGGCCGAUCUCAGAAAUUGAAGAGGCACCUACUAUUCUAGCCUUGUCAGCACCUGUCACACGCACACUCAGCUUUGCAGAAAUUAUGGGCAUUCUGUCGAAGACUUCUGGUGAAGUAGAAAGCACAUGAAUCUUACUGUUCAAUCACCCACUUCCCACACGCAACAAUAGCUCAUGGGUACCACAGAUAACUUUGCCAAAGUUCUCUGCCAAAGUUGAGCACGUGAAGCUUGCAGCUCCCACUACAUCGCUCUGACCAAGAAAGGUAAAAGAAUAGCAAAGAAACAGCACUAACAAAGUUUAGACACAUAAAUUUUGAAGGUCUAGCUACUAUAUUAUUACCCACAAGGGUAAAGGAACAGUACCAUUGCUGGAUAAUUGGAAAGUUCCUGUGUGUCAACCUCUGUGCUUCGUGGCAAGGUAGACUAGCAAACAUGCCCAACCUUUACUCACAUUCGAGAAAACACUCCCAACAAAAUUGCUUGCUCCAAAAUCGAAGAGGCACCGUCCUCUCCGAAUCUCGAGAGCCAGACUCCCAACAUCUCAAAAGAAGAUACUUUCUCAAAAGCGAAGAUAGGGUAAAGGAACAGUACCAUUGCUAGAUAAUUGGAAAGUUCCUGUGUGUCAACCUUUGUGCUUCGGGGCAAGGUAGACUAGCAAACAUGCCCAACCUUUACUCACAUUCGAGACAACACUCCCAACAAGAUUGUUUGCUCCAAAAUCGAAGAGGCACCGCCCUCCGAAUCUCGAGAGCCAGACUCCCAACAUGAUUACUUCCUCAAAAAUCGAAGAGACACUGCUCUCCGAAUCUCGAGAGCCAGACCCCCAGCAUGAUUGCUUUCUCAAAAAUCGAAGAGGCAUCGUUCUCCGAAUCUCGAGAGCCAGAUACC